This is a long non-coding RNA of Gasterosteus aculeatus aculeatus (three-spined stickleback), 1323 nucleotides long. NCBI's taxonomy places the organism in Eukaryota, Metazoa, Chordata, Actinopteri, Perciformes, Gasterosteidae. The record is from Ensembl.
CUCCCUCCCCCCCAAACCAUCAAAGCCCCCGGCCUGAACCUUUUAAAGGCGCUCAGCCUGCAAUCCAACACUUUCCUUCCUCUGUCUCGCACCUCGUGUCCGUGUCCUCCGAUGGGGGGUAAAUGUAUACACUUCAUCAUGACAGUCUCAACACACCUGCCGCCCUCUUUGGGUUCCUGUUUUACGUCACAUUGCAAUGCCUUGUGGGUAAUUCCCUUUCUAAGAAUAGCAGGAUGUUGUUUGUUGAAAUGUACUUUAUUCAGCCGGUUUUUCAGCUGAAUAAUAAUUUCAUUGAUUGAGACCUUUGCAACCAGGCUGGAAACAAAAAGGAAUGAAGACUGAAGAAUAAAUGGUAAUAAAGUACAAAAACAUCAAAAUAAACUGUGACCUGGAUGUAAAGGAGCAGGUGAUGCUCACAAUAAGACAUGUAGAAGGUUCUGGCUGGUGAGCAUGAGCGCUAAUUACCGGAGCUAACUGCUAAAACUCAUUUUCACAGCUGAUCCAAACUCUUUUAAUCAGCUGUGCAUCAAUAACAAAAAUAAAAUAUAUCUGAACAACGGCCUGCAAAAAUGUAUAAUUUGUAAUUUCAUGAAUAAAUUAUUUCUUCAUGCAUUAAAACCCACUUGAUGAGGAAAUCACUCCAUUGGGAAUGUGUGUGUGUGUGUGUGUGUGUGUGUGUGUAUAUGCGUGUGUGUGUGUGUGUGUGUGUGUGUGUGUGUGUGUGUAUAUAUGUGUGUGUGUGUGUGUGUGUGUGUGUGUGUGUGUGUGCUGUGUGUGUGUGUGUGUGUGUGUCUGUGUGUGUGUGUGUGUGUGUGUGUGUGUGUGUGUGUGUGUGUGUGUGUGUGUGUGUGUGUGUGUGUGUGUGUCUGUGUGUGUGUCUGUGCGUGUGGGAGGGGGGGGUGUCACACUGGAGGCGUCCUAAUUGCUGAUCCACUUCCUCCCAUCAAAUAGUCGAGGAGGAAGAGUGACGCAUAAACACAUGUACGCCAGCGCGUUUUCAUCAUUGUGCGAGAUUUUCAAAUUAGAAUUAAUUCACAAAAUAAAUUUUACCUUGACAAAUGAAAUGAAAUACAACACUAUUUAAAAAAAAUGAAUUCAAAAUAAUCUUAUUUCUCAAUAAAACUAAAAGCUAAAUUCACAACAAGAAUGUCCUUAACGUAUCUUUAUAAUUAUUGUUUGAAACCGGUGGUAAAGAAUAAUAAUGUGAUGAUAUAUUAUAAGCUCCAUGGAGAUCUUAGCUUAACAUCUCCCCACUUCAUCCGUUGCUAAGGGCAACGGCGUAGACAAAGAUGGCUGCUGAGCGGUAGGUCAGCUCUGUGUGGG